This 1530-nucleotide ribosomal RNA is filed under the name Salmonella enterica subsp. enterica. RNAcentral describes it as "bacterial SSU rRNA". It matches the Rfam family "Bacterial small subunit ribosomal RNA". Lineage: Bacteria; Pseudomonadati; Pseudomonadota; Gammaproteobacteria; Enterobacterales; Enterobacteriaceae. The record is from RNAcentral.
AGAGUUUGAUCAUGGCUCAGAUUGAACGCUGGCGGCAGGCCUAACACAUGCAAGUCGAACGGUAACAGGAAGCAGCUUGCUGCUUUGCUGACGAGUGGCGGACGGGUGAGUAAUGUCUGGGAAACUGCCUGAUGGAGGGGGAUAACUACUGGAAACGGUGGCUAAUACCGCAUAAUGUCGCAAGACCAAAGAGGGGGACCUUAGGGCCUCUUGCCAUCAGAUGUGCCCAGAUGGGAUUAGCUUGUUGGUGAGGUAACGGCUCACCAAGGCGACGAUCCCUAGCUGGUCUGAGAGGAUGACCAGCCACACUGGAACUGAGACACGGUCCAGACUCCUACGGGAGGCAGCAGUGGGGAAUAUUGCACAAUGGGCGCAAGCCUGAUGCAGCCAUGCCGCGUGUAUGAAGAAGGCCUUCGGGUUGUAAAGUACUUUCAGCGGGGAGGAAGGUGUUGUGGUUAAUAACCACAGCAAUUGACGUUACCCGCAGAAGAAGCACCGGCUAACUCCGUGCCAGCAGCCGCGGUAAUACGGAGGGUGCAAGCGUUAAUCGGAAUUACUGGGCGUAAAGCGCACGCAGGCGGUCUGUCAAGUCGGAUGUGAAAUCCCCGGGCUCAACCUGGGAACUGCAUUCGAAACUGGCAGGCUUGAGUCUUGUAGAGGGGGGUGGAAUUCCAGGUGUAGCGGUGAAAUGCGUAGAGAUCUGGAGGAAUACCGGUGGCGAAGGCGACCCCCUGGACAAAGACUGACGCUCAGGUGCGAAAGCGUGGGGAGCAAACAGGAUUAGAUACCCUGGUAGUCCACGCCGUAAACGAUGUCUACUUGGAGGUUGUGCCCUUGAGGCGUGGCUUCCGGAGCUAACGCGUUAAGUAGACCGCCUGGGGAGUACGGCCGCAAGGUUAAAACUCAAAUGAAUUGACGGGGGCCCGCACAAGCGGUGGAGCAUGUGGUUUAAUUCGAUGCAACGCGAAGAACCUUACCUGGUCUUGACAUCCACGGAAGUUUUCAGAGAUGAGAAUGUGCCUUCGGGAACCGUGAGACAGGUGCUGCAUGGCUGUCGUCAGCUCGUGUUGUGAAAUGUUGGGUUAAGUCCCGCAACGAGCGCAACCCUUAUCCUUUGUUGCCAGCGAUUAGGUCGGGAACUCAAAGGAGACUGCCAGUGAUAAACUGGAGGAAGGUGGGGAUGACGUCAAGUCAUCAUGGCCCUUACGACCAGGGCUACACACGUGCUACAAUGGCGCAUACAAAGAGAAGCGACCUCGCGAGAGCAAGCGGACCUCAUAAAGUGCGUCGUAGUCCGGAUUGGAGUCUGCAACUCGACUCCAUGAAGUCGGAAUCGCUAGUAAUCGUGGAUCAGAAUGCCACGGUGAAUACGUUCCCGGGCCUUGUACACACCGCCCGUCACACCAUGGGAGUGGGUUGCAAAAGAAGUAGGUAGCUUAACCUUCGGGAGGGCGCUUACCACUUUGUGAUUCAUGACUGGGGUGAAGUCGUAACAAGGUAACCGUAGGGGAACCUGCGGUUGGAUCACCU